This is a non-coding RNA of Salmo salar (Atlantic salmon), 58 nucleotides long. NCBI's taxonomy places the organism in Eukaryota, Metazoa, Chordata, Actinopteri, Salmoniformes, Salmonidae. The record is from Rfam.
UAGCUCAGUUGGUAGAGCAUGGUGUUUGCAACACCAGGGUUGUGGGUUCAAUUCCCAU